This 72-nucleotide transfer RNA is filed under the name Ceramaster japonicus. RNAcentral's name for it is "tRNA-Gln". It matches the Rfam family "tRNA". From Rfam's summary of the family: Transfer RNA (tRNA) molecules are approximately 80 nucleotides in length. Their secondary structure includes four short double-helical elements and three loops (D, anti-codon, and T loops). Lineage: Eukaryota; Metazoa; Echinodermata; Asteroidea; Valvatida; Goniasteridae. The record is from RNAcentral.
UAGAAAGUAGUAUAAUAGGUAAAACAGAGAAUUUUGAUUUCUCUUAUAUAAGUUCAACUCUUAUCUUCCUAA